UACGUAGGGCGCAAGCGUUGUCCGGAAUUAUUGGGCGUAAAGAGCUCGUAGGCGGUCUGUCGCGUCCGUUGUGAAAACUCGAGGCUCAACCUCGGGCUUGCAGUGGAUACGGGCAGACUAGAGUGCGGUAGGGGAGACUGGAAUUCCUGGUGUAGCGGUGGAAUGCGCAGAUAUCAGGAAGAACACCAAUGGCGAAAGCAGCUCUCUGGGACGGUACUGACGCUGAGGAGCGAAAGCCAGGGGAGCAAACGGG
This 253-nucleotide ribosomal RNA is filed under the name uncultured bacterium. RNAcentral's name for it is "partial 16S ribosomal RNA". It matches the Rfam family "Bacterial small subunit ribosomal RNA", at positions 524 to 776 of the family's 1533-position model. The record is from RNAcentral.